AGUGCCAUUCAGGUAGGCUGGCUGCUUGAGAUAAAGUGCCGUAAGCAUUGGGGGAGUUGGGUGGGCAGGAUCCCAGUGAGUCAGCAGGGCAGAGCCCCAGAGCUCACCAGACCAGUCAGUUUCAGAUUUGGCCAUAAGCGUAGGGGGCGGGCUCAACACAUUAAAGAUGGCGGCCGCCUGCUGGCCGCUCUGGAAAAGAACUCACGGGAAAUGGGACUGGCCUCCAAGCCACACACCUCAGUCUGCUCCCCGAAUGCCUCCAAUGCCCUCUGAAUCACUGUUGCUCCUCUGGAGCCCAAACUGAGUACCUGCGAGUGAAGAAAGCUGGGAUUCUUCCCAAGACAUCUUCACUAAGAAGUUUUCCAUGUGCAUCAACCCAGAGACUUAGGUGAGACUCAUUUAACAGAAACCUCUGCUGGAGGAGCCCGUGAUCCCCCCUCCGCUGACAGCUCACACCUCGCUCGCCCAGGGUCCGGCAGCUUUGCAAUCAGAGGACUCCAUCCACGGAGUCAUGCGUUGGAACAGAGAAAGUCCUGGGAAAUAUGUGGCCCCAGUCGGAAGUGACCAGCUUUCCUCUCUUUGUUCUGCCGAGUCCUGUGGUUCAAGCUCGCGAUAGGACAGGCAGUUUGCUUAAAAGCAGGAAGGCGGCAUUUUCACCUCGAGAUAAAUUCCCAAUUGAAUUUUCUGUUGGACCAAUCCGAAAGAAAUGCAAUUAGACUGUGAGCAAUGUUCAAGCAAAGACUGGGAAGCUUUCAAAGACGGCUCUGCUAGAAAUGAUUUGUUGGGCCCUUGACAUAUGUUUGCAUUUGGCGAUAUUAAUUGCAUCUUAAAGCACCCACGGGAGUCAUGCUUUCUAGGAGCAUAGGUUUUUAAUUUCUCCCACAGAAUGAAGCCAUAAUUUGGAAUUUCCAAGGUAUCAAGACUAACUGGGUAGUGCUCAGCAACCUUAAAAUCAGGAGCAAUUACUGCAACCUGCGCAUGACUGGUGGUGGGUGGGCUGACCAGGCGAGUCCCAUCAUGAAGGUUAGGCUGCAGCUGUGGCUCUGGGUCUGCGCACCAAGGCACCCUGAGGAUGGAGGCCUCCGGACUUGGAGACGAGGGACACAUAGGGACCUCCCCAGGAAGGUGAGCGGAGGUGAGAGGAGGUGGUCCCCGGGUCCCACAUGUCUGGCCUGGAAUUUUGAUCUGACUGUGCUGUUGGCUGGUGAGUCCCAGGGAAAUAACACUCCAUUUCAUUGCAGUGAGUUGAGCUCGCGUCUUCGUGUCUGAAUGAAUACUCCAGCUCAGCGCUGGCCAGCACACCUCUCCACACUGUCCAAGAGAGUAGCCGCUGGCCACGUGGGUACUAAGCACUUGAAAUGUGACUGGCGUGCCUGAGCCGCUGACGUCUAAAUUUUAUUACAGUUGAUCUUUGAACAACAAAGGGGAAAGGGGCACCAACCUCCCAUGCAGUCUAAAAUUUUCACGUAACUUUUGACUCCCUCCAAAUUUAGCUACUAAUAGCCUACUGUUGACCGGAAGCCUUACCGAUAAACAUGAAUAGUCAAUUAAUGCAUGUUUUGUAUGGUAGAGGUAUUAUAUACGAUAUUCUUACCAUAAAGUAAGCUAAAGAAAAUGUUAUUAAGAAAAUCAUAAGGAAAAUACCUUUACAAUGUUUAUUGAAAAGAAUUUGUAUAUAAGCGGGCCCUCGAAGUUCAAACCCAUGUUGUUCAAGGGUCAGCUGUAAUGGUUGAAAUUUAGAUAAGCACAUGUGGCCAGUGGCUCUGCCCUGAACAGCACAGCCCUGGAUUGUCACCAUCUGUGACUAAGUACCAUCUCAUUCAUUCUCAAGGGAGCCUCAGGCUGCCUCUGCAGGGGAGGUGCCUGUCUGUGUGAAAUUCCUGAGAGGCUGUGGUGGCCUUGGGUUAUGAGUUGGCUUCCUGAAUUCUCCCUGAUGUGGUUGAUGGUUAUCGUGGCUCUUUCUUGCCUUAUUUCCAGCUAUAGACCUGUAUGGCUUCCGGUGAACAGAGCAUUUAGUUGGAAUAUUUAUUUAGGAUUUAAUCUCCGAGGCUACAGUCCAGUCUUGGGAUGGAGUUUGGCCAACUCUGCAUUGGUGGCCAGGCUUACAAUGGGCUUCUUAAAACCAAAUGACCAUAGUUCCGGGUUUAUAACUCCCCUGCCAAAGCUGGGCGUGACCUUUUAAGUCUGUGUGUGGGAGAUUCCACAAUGGCCUUGGCUGAAGAAUCCAAGAAAGGUCAGGCCUUGACACUUUCCUCUGAGCUCUUCAGACAAAGUCACUUCUCUUCUACAAACUCCUCUCCAUAGCAGGGUGGAAGGGGGCUGCCUUGGUCUCUCUCGACAGCUUGUUUUUAUUUUGCCCCUGAUUCUGUCAGAUGCCCUGAGCGCAGUAUAAAUGGCUCAGCCUCGGCCCUGUUGGAUGCUGCUGCACAAGAGGCAGAAAUAAUUAAAAAUGAAAGCUGACAUUAAUGUUGUUCUUAUUAGGUGUGAAGCACGGCCUCUAUCAACACCACUAGGAAGGAGGUGCUAUUAUUAUGUCCAUUUUAUAGGUGAGGAAACUGAGGCACAGAUAAGUCACCUUGAGACCAAGCUAGGACCAAGUUGGAGCAAAUGCUGGAGACAAGAAGGCAACACAGCUGGAGGGGAACCCUGAGGUCAACGCGGGGGCAGAGUCAUGUCCAGUCUGGUAUCAGCCUUCCAGGGCCUGGGGUGGCGGCAGAGAGGGGAGUGAAAGCUUCAGGGCAGUGGUACUUUUCAGGGGGUCCUCACUAGACAAUGUGGGCCAGCAGGAGCAGGACCAGCUGGGGAAAGUGGAGGAUGAGAGCACUUACUCAGCUCAGUUACCUGCCAGGGAACACUCACCAUCAGGCGUGGUUCCCCAGGUAACUGGGAGCAGAAACUGGUGUUCAGGGACCCAUGGAGAAAGUCAGGGGCAGAUUGAAAGGGGCCUUUUGUAGCCCCCCCUUUCCAAGACUCGCCACACACCAGGUGUGUGAACGGCUGACUCUUCCCUGACCCCACUUGGUAGUGGGGAGGGACCCUGGUGUUCCUUCGGGUCUGACUCCCACUCAGGCUAUAGGUGACAUUGUGUCAACAGUGUGGGCCAUCUGGGCCCAGCACAGACACCCCCCCAGGCCCACUGAGCCCUCACACCCGGUGUCUUAGGUCAAUUUCCUGAGAUGGGGAUUCUUGCAUCAGUGAUUUAUUGAAGGAGUGCUUUCAGCGGAAAUAUGGGACCGCCCCCAUUCCCAAGCCCGGGGGGAUACGUUCCGAGACCCCAAUGGAUGCCUGAAACUGCGGAUAGUACUGAACUCCACACAUGCUGUGUUUUUUCCUAUGUGUAUGCACAUACAUUUUCACUGAAAGGAAGCACUUUCCGGCUUCUCUUUGGCACCUGAGUUGCCAGCAUCACUCCUCUUGUGCUUUGGGGCCAUUAGUAAGUAAAACAAGGGUGACCUGAACACAAGUACUGUGAUACGGCCACAGUUGCUCUGCUAACCCGAGGCAGCUACUAAGUGACUAGUGGGUGGGGGUCGUCUACAGUGUGGAGACGCUGUAGGGAUGGGAUGAAGCAGGAAGGCACAAGAUCUCAUCAACUGCUCAAAACACACAGUUUCCAGCUUAUGAAUUGUUUAUUUCUGGAAUUUUCCAUUUAAUAUUUUUGGACCGCGGCUGACUGUGGGUAAAUGAAAGCUUAGAGAACGAAACCAUGGAUAAGGAAGGACUAAUACUUGUAAGACAAUUGCUAUGGUCUGAAUUUGUGUCCCCCACCAAAUUCAUGUGUUGAAUCUUAACCCCUAAAGUGCUGGGGUUAGGCCUUUGGAGGUGAUCAGAUCAUGAGGGUGGAACCUGUGAACGGAAUCGGUGCCCUUACCAAGGAGACCCCACCGAGCUCUCUCGCCCCUUCCACCAUGUGAGGACCCAGCAGGAAGGUGCCAGCUAUGUGCCAGGAAGAAGGCUCUUACCCGACCACACUGGCAUCCUGAGCGUGGAUGUCCAGCCUUCAGAACUGUGAGAAAUAAGUUUCUACUGAUUAUAGGUCACCCAGUCUACGGCAUUCUGGUUAUAACAACCUGCUCAGACUAAGAUAAUAACGGUGAGGGGUCAACUGUGUAGAAGAGUCAGGUGUGGGUCGUUCGCAGCAGCUGUUGCAGGUGCCCGGCCUGGUACAGGGACUGAGGGGGCACAGCAUCAGGCACAGUCCCUUGUGGGACUGCUCAUGGCUUCCCAGCCCUUGCUCGGCCCCUGGGUGUGUGCUGCUUCUCCCUGAAGCUCCAGCAGCCCUGACAAGCUCGGUGAGUCCAGAGGGGCUGAAUUUUGCAGCAGGUGGCUCACAUCUUGAAAGUCAGUGUUUGCAGCAAGUAACUGACAUAGUGACACGUGCAAACCUCCCACCGAGGGCUGGCCUCUUUUCACAGGACUUCUGGGACCCCACAGUUUGGAAACAGCAGGGUGCCUGCUGCCCAGAUAUACACACACAGCCAAGAGGCAGCAGACAUGUGUGCCCUGUGCUCCCUGGAUGGACUUGCACCCGGGAGCUUCCUCCAACCACGGCACUGCAAUGGCACCCCCAUCCAAAUCUGGUUUGGUCCUUUUCCUCCUGGGCUUGGUGCCCAUCCAAACACAUUCUCAGCAGGACCCCUCAGGCUGUCCAUGAGAAGAACGUGGCAUUCUUCUCUGGGGCUCAGAAAAUGCAAAUAAACAACUCACUGCAUUUGCACAGGCCAAAGACUGAUCCUUGCCUUGGCAGGCCUGUCCUGCAGCUGCCUCCUCAGGGGUCCUGGGAGGGAUGUGCAUGUGUGGGGGUGUUGGGGGGUCAGGGGGAGACUCAGAUGAAGGAAAACCUAUUGUGGAAUUCAACAAAAACUUUGUGACUGAGGUCAGUGUGGGCCCUGCUCUUUCUCUGGCUGGUAAAGUGAAAACCUUCAGGGGCCAUGUUCUGUUCAAUCCCAAGAAGACAGUCAUAUUGAUAUUCAUGGAGCCAGAAAAAAUGUGCUUCUUGAGAACUGGGACUAGAGACAACGGGGAGAGGCUGCUCGGAGAGCUGGGACAAUAUACCAACGUGCUCCUUGCUGGGCUCAGGGAAAUGAAAGGACACGGAUUCUCUUUGACUAGAACGAAAUCCUCAGGAAGAAGUACGGCAAUGGAGCUAUAUGUUCACUUCCUUCUUUGCUGGGACUUAGAAGAGACUCAUCUCUAAUGACAGAUUUAAAACACGUCAUCACAACCCCAGCAACUUCUCCCAAUCCCCCACAUUACGGCCGAAGGACUCAGGUACCUGGAAGUCCUGAGGACUUUCAGCCUCGGCCCAAACCUGUCCGGGUGACACCUCUCUUGGUCAGUCACUUUCUCGGGCCAGGAUAAAGAAGCUCAUUUUGAAAUUCCAGAAGCAGGAGGGAAAAGAGGGGUCAUCACUCUGACUCCCCUUCACUCCCCUUCUCUCCGCUGCAUGGAAAUCAGGGGGUUUCUCACCAACCCUGUGUGUGGUUGCCAUUUUGUGUGACGUUUUGCUGCUGUUAAAAUGUCACCCACGAAUGUUUACAGCAGCACCACCACAACAGCCAAAAGUGGAAACAACCCAGAAGCCCACCAGGAGAUGAAUGAACGAACUGAAUGUGGUAUGGCCAUACAAUGGACUCUUAGUCCUCCAUAGAAAAGAAUGAAGUGCUGAUAAACAUGCUACAAACCUUGAAGACAUUAUGCCAAGUGAAAGAAACCAGUCACUAAAACUACAUACUGUGGGAUUUCAUUUAUACGAACUAUUCAGAACAGGUAAAUCCAUACAGAAAGCAGAUUAUUAGUUGCCAGGAGCUGGAGGAAUGGGGAGUGACUGCUUAAUAGGUAUGGGGGGGCUAAUUUUCAGGUGCUGAAAAUGUUUUGGAAGUAGAUAGAGGUGGUGGUUGCAAGCCACUGUGAAUGUACUAAAUGCUGCUGAAUUGUGCACUUUAAAAUGGCCAAUUUUACUUUAUGCGAAUUUCAUCUCUGCUGUAGACUAAAUGUUUGUAUCCUCCCAAGACUCAUGUAUUAAUUCCUAACCCCCAAGGUGAUGUUUCUAGGAGGUGGAGCCUUUGGGAGGUGAAUAGAUCACAAAGGUGGAGCCCUCAUGGCAGAUUAGGGCCUUUAUCAAAGAGACCCCACAGACCUUGCUGCCCCUUCUGCCAAGUGAGGACGUAGAGAGAAGGUGGCUGUCUGUGAACAAGGGUGCCAGCCCUCACCAGACUCCGAAUUUACUAGCACAUUGAUCUUGGACUUUCCAGCCUCCAGAACUGUGAGAAAUAAGUUUCUGUUGUUUAUAAGCCACCCAGGCUAUGGUACUUUUGUUAUAGCAGCUCGAAUGAACUAAGACAAACUGAAUUAAAACAAUCAAAAUUGCAGAGCCCUCCCCAAUCUGGGCAGCGGGGCUGGUUGAUGAGAGACAGGCCUCUCUCUUCACAACCAUCCUUCUCUGCGUUCCUUGAAUGGACCUUUCACCCUCUGGACCUGGAGAACUGAAAAAGAAACGCCUUCUCCCGUAUGUGUCAUUCAUUGCUCAGGUUCCUGAGGAAAAAGCUAGUAUUUCCUGAUCGCCUCACAGUAAGUCAGCUCCAGCACUUUCUAUUGUGUGACUUGGGCCCCGAUGCUUACCCUGUUAGCCUUCACUUCCUCAUCUCCAUACACCGAUUUGCAGGGUUGAUGUGAUGAUAAAGUAAGAUAAGGCAGGGAGAGCUCCUCUGGAGUGGGCAUGUGAGAUAGAUACAAACCACUGUUUUUAUACUCUAAGCCCACUGGGAAAAGAAAGGGAAAAAAAUUUCUUUCUACUCCAUAGCUAUACGCCUCCUGUCUACGAGGGGGAGCCUUCUAAAGGAACGCAUCAUCAGGAAACUGUUUCCUUAAUUCCUUUUUCUUUUGGUCCUUCACCUGCCCUUCCCCAAUAUGGUAAGACCCAUUUUUCUGCAGCCAUUUAAAGGGUAACUACACUUGAUCCUUGCCCACAGGACUGCUGGGUAAUCUGGUUGAUCACUAUUUACUACUAGGAGCUCUGUGGUUUUAAACUUUAAACCAGGAGUUGGCAAAAUUUUUCUGUAAAGGGCAAGAGCAAAUAUUUUAGGCUUUGUGGACCAUACUUUAUUUACAAAAUCAGGUAAACGCCUCUUGCCUUUUUGUGUACAGCUCUGAACUGAGAAAUUUUUUGACAUGUUUAAGUAAUUGAUGAAAAAGCAAAGAAGAAUAAUAUAUGACAUGUGAAAAUGAAAUUAAAUUCAAAUUUCUGUGUCUAUAAAUAAAAUUUUAUUGCAACACCAUCAGUUCAUUCAUUAUAUAUUAGCUAUGGCUGCUUCUGAACUACAGUGGCAGAGUUGAGUAGUCGUGGCAUGAACCACAAUGCCUAAAAUAUUUAUCUUGCCCUUUAAGAAAAAUUUUGCUGAACCCUGCUCUAAUCAAAUAAUGUUAGUGAUUAAAAUCCACCACCAGUGAAAGUGAACACAUAGUGGAUAAACUCAUGCUUGCUGUGCUAUAUAUAUAUAUAUAUAUACAUAUAUAUAUAU
Long non-coding RNA from Rhinolophus ferrumequinum (greater horseshoe bat), 7520 nucleotides. RefSeq lists it as uncharacterized. Lineage: Eukaryota; Metazoa; Chordata; Mammalia; Chiroptera; Rhinolophidae. The record is from RefSeq and is a predicted model, not a curated record. The transcript has 3 exons.